CAACAUAACUUGUAAGGAUUCCAGUGGCAAUGAAACACAUUUUACUGGGAACGAAGUUGGUUUUUUCAAGCCCAUAUCUUGCCGAAAUGUAAAUGGCUAUUCCUACAAAGUGGCAGUCGCAUUGUCUCUUUUUCUUGGAUGGUUGGGAGCAGAUCGAUUUUACCUUGGAUACCCUGCUUUGGGUUUGUUAAAGUUUUGCACUGUAGGGUUUUGUGGAAUUGGGAGCCUAAUUGAUUUCAUUCUUAUUUCAAUGCAGAUUGUUGGACCUUCAGAUGGAAGUAGUUACAUUAUAGAUUACUAUGGAACCAGACUUACAAGACUGAGUAUUACUAAUGAAACAUUUAGAAAAACGCAAUUAUAUCCAUAAAUAUUUUUUAAAAGAAACAGUAAGUGAUAUAUAUAUAUAUAUGUAAUAUCUUAUAGUGGUAUAUUAUUCAUAUAAAAUUAUGAGAAUUUUAGGACCAUAGAAAAUUUUAAGAGACGAUAUAAACCUCUCAGGUACCCCUAUGCCUGAAACAUCUCCAAUCCUUUGA
RNAcentral lists this small RNA (533 nucleotides) under Pan troglodytes (chimpanzee). RNAcentral describes it as "processed transcript". The record is from RNAcentral. Lineage: Eukaryota; Metazoa; Chordata; Mammalia; Primates; Hominidae.